RNAcentral lists this ribosomal RNA (253 nucleotides) under uncultured bacterium. RNAcentral describes it as "partial 16S ribosomal RNA". It matches the Rfam family "Bacterial small subunit ribosomal RNA", at positions 524 to 776 of the family's 1533-position model. The record is from RNAcentral.
UACGUAGGGGGCAAGCGUUGUCCGGAAUCAUUGGGCGUAAAGCGCGUGUAGGCGGCUUGGUAAGUCCGCUCUGAAAGCCCGGGGCUCAACCCCGGGAGGCGGGUGGAUACUGUCAAGCUCGAGUCCGGAAGAGGAGAGUGGAAUUCCUGGUGUAGCGGUGAAAUGCGCAGAUAUCAGGAAGAACACCCGUGGCUAAGGCGGCUCUCUAGUACGGUACUGACGCUGAGACGCGAAAGCGUGGGAAGCGAACAGG